CUUUUAAAAUAAAGCAGAUAGCAUAAAUAUACAAU
This 35-nucleotide small RNA is filed under the name Arabidopsis thaliana (thale cress). RNAcentral describes it as "ATSL262660". Lineage: Eukaryota; Viridiplantae; Streptophyta; Magnoliopsida; Brassicales; Brassicaceae. The record is from RNAcentral.